CGGCCGCGGUAUCCUGACCGUGCAAAGGUAGCAUAAUCAUUUGUUCCUUAAUUAGGGACUUGUAUGAAUGGCCUCACGAGGGUUUAACUGUCUCUUACUUUUAAUCAGUGAAAUUGACCUUCCCGUGAAGAGGCGGGAAUACUAAAAUAAGACGAGAAGACCCUAUGGAGCUUAAAUUAAAUUAUCCUGGAUAAUAAAUUUUGGUUGGGGUGACCUCGGAGCAUAACUUAACCUCCGAACUCAGACUUACCCGUCAAAGUCAAUCUUAUUGAUCAACGGAACAAGUUACCCUAGGGAUAACAGCGCAAUCCUAUUUGAGAGUCCAUAUCGACAAUAGGGUUUACGACCUCGAUGUUGGAUCAGGACAUCCUAAUGGUGCAGCAGCU
Molecule: ribosomal RNA, 386 nt
Filed under: Suncus murinus (house shrew)
Lineage: Eukaryota; Metazoa; Chordata; Mammalia; Eulipotyphla; Soricidae
Description: partial 16S ribosomal RNA
Rfam family: Bacterial large subunit ribosomal RNA
Source: RNAcentral